Molecule: long non-coding RNA, 2561 nt
Organism: Passer domesticus (house sparrow)
Lineage: Eukaryota; Metazoa; Chordata; Aves; Passeriformes; Passeridae
Exons: 2
Source: RefSeq, a predicted model, not a curated record
GCAAGAGUAGCCCUGCUGGUUGGUGGCCAGCUCGCGUUGGCAUUGGUGCUGUGGCAGAUGCUCAUUUAAACUUCCACCCUAAAACUCGCUGGAAGAAAACUUACAGCAGUAGGUAGGGGAAGAUGGAAGGAACAGAAUGGGAAAAAAUAGAAGAUGGACUGGAGAUUGAAACAAACUGGCUACGACCAUUUCAGUAAUCCUGGGAGUUAUUGCAAAUAUUUGUCCCAGGAAGACUCAGUGGGAAGUGAACGCCUAGGAGGAGACGUGGGAAGAAGAGGACCAAGACCUUAUGCUGUCAGGAAUGGUUAAUGCUGAGGAAAAAGCAGAUGGAGAUUGUCCUGGUUUUCAGCUGGGAGAAAAGCACCGAUAUGUUUUAGCUGCUUUAGGAAGGGAAAUUGCUGCUAGGUGAGUCAAUCAAAAUUACCUUCAGCCCUGCCAGUGCAAUGCCAGCUCCCUGGAAUGGUGAUGUCGAUUAACUAUGGAUGUUGUCUACCAUUGAUCAUUUUGAUAUGAAAAUCCCAGCUACCUGGGAGUGCACAGGGCUGUGUUUGGGUGAGGUAUUCACCAUCAUUCCCACUGCCCCAUGUGAUCUUGGAUUAACUAAUCUAGUUAGUUUACAGGGUCAAACAUUUUAGUGCAAUGAAAGCUUUGUGAUAGCUUCAUGAUGCAAAUGAAAAAGCUGUUGAUUUCUGAAGCCAAGAGCUAACAAGUGCUACUGGUGACUGAGUCAGGUUUGUUGUAAUCUUUACUUUGAAGAUAUGCUGGAGUUCUCCAAGGUUAAUGAAGCACUUGUGGGGGAGCUUUUCUUCAGACUUUAGCUCUGUUUUAUUUCUUGAUAGAACCAUUAACUUCUACACUAACCUUUCUACUUGUUACUAUUACACACAUUCUGCCCACUAAAGCUUUAUAUUGAUUUUUGGCAGGGAGCACUUAUAAAUUGUAGGUUUAAAUACAUGGGGUUUUGGUUCUGUUAGCACUGGGUAGGAUACAGACAGACAAUGAUUAAUUUGUAGAUUUUUAAUUUCUUUUAGAUAUAUGUUACAGCCACUUUGGCAUCACCACUGUCAUUAGGUUUUGUUUCUUGAAUAAUUUGCUCCAAUUAUUCCAGAUCUUUUUAAUUGCUGUAGUUUCCAGUUAAGAAAGUAAAAUUUACAAGAUAUGAUGAAUAGUGUUCGCAAAAUACAUUGAGAUACUGGAAACUCUUCUGAUCCUUCCAAAUUUAGGACUUCAUCUAUGAAGAAUGGUGUCAGUGGGGCAGAGAACCAACAGUUCUUGCCCUCUGGAAUCUAGCCAUGUAUUAGAAAAUCCAGCAUUCUCCUUUUAACAGGCUAAUCCCCUAUCUCUUAUUUUUAUUUAUGAAGAUUUCAUAUUAAGAUUCCAAAGAAACAUAUUUUUUUCUUUGGUAAAAAAAAGAUGGUAAAUGAAUUAAAAAAACUUUAGGAUUAAUCCUAAAUUUUAUGGGUUUUAAAAAAUUUAUUAUUCUAGUUAAGUUUUGCCUUUUUACUUGAAAAUCUUUUAUAUACCAUUGUGUUGCUUUUGCAUGGCCUGGCUUUUGGUAGUGGGGGAUGGGGAGGACAGAUGUGGCUUCUGUGGGAAGCUGCUGGAAGAUCCCAGCAUGUCCAGCAGAUCCAGUGGCUGAUGGCUCUGAAGAUGGACAUGCUGCUGGCCAAGGCUGGGACAAUUACAAAUGAUGGUAACACCUCUGUGACAACAGAUUUAAGAAGAAAAUCAAAACAAAGUAGUUUUUCACAGAAGUAGUUUUCCUUCCAGCCAGAGGAGAGGAGGAGGUGAGAGCAUGAGGGCAAAACAACAUGGGGACACUACAGUGGAGAAGGAGGGGCAGGAGGUGCUCCAGGAACCCAAGCUGAGAUUCCUCUGCAGCCAUGGUGAGACCAGGCUGAAGCAACUGUGCCCCUGGAGCCCCUGGGGAUGCAGGGGGAUGCACAGAUCCACCCACAGCCCAUGGAGAUCCAUGGGGAUGCAGGGAUCUACUCACAGCCCAUGGGGAAGGUGCCCACACUGGGGUAGGUGGAUGCCUGGAGGAGGAUGUGAUCCAGUGACACUGGAGAAGUUCAGGGAGAACUGUGUCCAUGGGAAGGGACCCCAGGGUGCAGCAGGGGAGGGACUCCUAUCCAUGAGCAGCAGAAGAAAAUCUGGGGUGAUGAACUGACCAAACCCCCCCCCUGCUGUCUCCCUGCUGCCGACAGGAAUAAGAGAGGAGUUGGGGCAAAAAAAAAGUAGUGUUUUAAGGGCUUACUUUUCUUCUUAUUAUCCUCCUCAUGGUUUUGUUAAUAAUAAACUUUGUACUUCUAGGUUGAGCCUCUUUUGCCCUUAGAGUGUUUUCUCCCGGUUCCCAUCUCAACUCAUGACUCCUCAGUUUAAUUUUUUCUUCUCUCCUCUGCCCAGCUGUGGCAGGAGAGGGUGAGUGAGCAGCUGUGGUGGGUGCCUGGUGUUUGGCCAGACCCACAGAACUGGUUUCCCUUCUUGAUUUCCUUCAGUCCAGGGCUUUUUUCCAUUUCAUCUCUACUUGAAACCUGAAGCACUGCAGCUAUAAAUAUUGG